Molecule: long non-coding RNA, 2674 nt
Organism: Pan troglodytes (chimpanzee)
Lineage: Eukaryota; Metazoa; Chordata; Mammalia; Primates; Hominidae
Exons: 3
Source: RefSeq, a predicted model, not a curated record
UGGCAGGCCCCGAACCGGCACGCCCCCGUGAGCCCGCCCUCGAAAUCACUCUUAAAGGGUCCGCUCCUGGCUCGCGACUCCCCAGUGCCCUAGCCCAGAAAAGCGGAUUGGAGCCCGGGAAGCUCAUUGCGAUUCCAAAGGUCACGCUGAUGCAAGAGAUGGGUUCCCAUGAUCUUGGGCAGCUCCACUCCUGUGGCUUUGCAGGGUACAGGCUUCCUCCUGGCUGCUUUCACGGGCUGGUGGCCCUGGUGUGUGAUGUUCCCCAUCCUGUGUCCAAGUGUCGAACUCCUGACCUCUUGAUCUGCCCUCCUCAGCCUCCCAAAGUGCUGGGAUUACAGGCGUGAGCCACUGCACCCGGCCAAAAAGAGGUUUAAUUGGAUUUACAGUUCCACGUGGCUGCGGAGGCCUCAGAGUCAUGGCAGGAGGCGAAAGGCACUUCCUACAUGGUGGCGGCAGGAGAAAAUGAGGAAGAAGCAAAAGCAGAAACCCCUGAUAAACCCAUCAGAUCUCAUGAAACUUAUUCACUCUCAUGAGAAUAACACGGGAAAGACCAGCCCCCAUGAUUCGAUGACCUCCCCCAGGGUCCCUCCCACAACACAUGGGAAUUCUGGGAGAUACAAUUCAAGUUGAGAUUUCAGUGGGGACACAGCCAAACCACAUUAAUAUAUAUUUAAGAUAUAUGUAAAAUUUGAUGAUAGGUUGCAUGUGGGGAAUCAGAGAGAGACAGAGAGAGAGGAAGGAAGAAAAGGAGUUAAGAAUAACUCCACCUCCCUCUCCCGUCUCCCGUCUCCCUCUCCCGUCUCCCUCUCCCGUCUCCUGUCGCCCGUCUCCCGUCUCCCUCUCCCGUCUCCCUCUCCGUCUCCUUUCCACGGUCUCCCUCUCAUGCCGGGCCAAAGCUGGACUGUACUGCUGCCAUCUCGGCUCGCUGCAGCCUCCCUGCCUGAUUCUCCUGCCCCAGCCUGCCGAGUGCCUGCAAUUGCAGGCGCGCACCGCCACGCCUGACUGGUUUUCAUGUUUUUUUGGUGGGGACGGGGUUUCGCUGUGUUGGCCGGACUGGUCUCCAGCUCCUAGCCGCGAGUGAUCCGCCAGCCUCAGCCUCCCGAGGUGCCGGGAUUGCAGACGGAGUCUUGUUAACUCAGUGCUCAAUGGUGCCCAGGCUGGAGUGCAGUGGCGUGAUCUCGGCUCGCUACGGCCUCCACCUCCCAGCCGCCUGCCUUGGCCCCCACAAAGUGCGGAGAUUGCAGCCUCUGCCCGGCCACCACCCCGUCUGGGAAGUGAGGAGCGUCUCUGCCUGGCCGCCCAUCGUCUGGGAUGUGAGGAGCCCCUCUGCCUGGCUGCCCAGUCUGGAAAGUGAGGAGCGUCUCUGCCCAGCCGCCAUCCCACCUGGGAAGUGAGGAGCGUCUCUGCCCAGCCGCCCAUCGUCUGAGAUGUGGGGAGCGUCUCUGCCCCGCCGCCCCAUCUGGGAUGUAAGGAGCGCCUCGGCCAGGCCGCGACCCCGUCUGGGAGGUGAGGAGCGUCUCUGCCCGGCCGCCCCGUCUGAGAAGUGAGGAGACCUUCUGCCUGGCAACCGCCCCGUCUGAGAAGUGAGGAGCCCCACCGCCCGGCUGCCACCCCAUCUGGGAAAUGAGGAGCGUCUCCGCCCGCAAGCCACCCCGUCCGGGAGGGAGGUGGGGGUCAGCCCCCCGCCAGGCCAGCGCCCCGUCCGGGAGGGAGGUGGGGGGUCAGCCCCCUGCCGGGCCAGCCGCCCCGUCCAGGAGGGAGGUGGGGGGCUCAGCCCCCCACCCGGCCAGCCGCCCCAUCCGGGAGGUGAGGGGCGCCUCUGCCCGGCCGCCCCUACUGGGAAGUGAGGAGCCCCUCUGCCCGGCCAGCCGCCCUGUCCGGGAGGGAGGUGGGGGGGUCAGCCCCCCGCCCGGCCAGCCGCCCCGUCCGGGAGGGAGGUGGGGGGCUCAGCCCCCCACCCGGCCAGCCACCCCGUCCGGGAGGUGAGGGGCGCCUCUGCCCGGCCGCCCCUACUGGGAAGUGAGGAGCCCCUCUGCCCGGCCAGCCGCCCCGUCCGGGAGGGAGGUGGGGGGGUCAGCCCCCUGCCCAGCCAGCCGCCCCGGCCGGGAGGGAGGUGGGGGGCCCAGCCCCCCGCCCGGCCAGCCGCCCUGUCCGGGAGGGAGGUGGGGGGGUCAGCCGGCCAGCCGCCCCGUCUGGGAGGUGAGGGGCGCCUCUGCCCGGCCGCCCCUACUGGGAAGUGAGGAGCCCCUCUGCCCAGCCAGUCGCCCCGUCCGGGAGGGAGGUGGGGGGGUCAGCCCCCCGCCCGGCCAGCCGACUCGUCCGGGAGGUGAGGGGCACCUCUGCCCGGCCACCACCCCGUCUGGGAGAUGUGCCCAACAGUUCAUUGAGAACGGGCCAUGAUGACAGUGGCGGUUUUGUGGAAUAGAAAGAAGGGGGAAAGGUGGCGAAAAGAUCGAGAAAUCGGAUGGUUGCCGUGUCUGUGUGAAAAGGGGUAGACAUGGGAGACUUUUCAUUUUGUUCUGUACUAAGAAAAAUUCUUCUGCCUUGGGAUCAUGUUGAUCUGUGGCCUUGUCCCCAACCCUGUGCUCUCUGAAACAUGUGCUGUGUCCACUCAGGGUUGAAUGGAUUAAGGGUGGUGCAAGAUGUGCUUUGUUAAAACAGAUGCUUGAAGGCA